GGAAUCAACGCUGGCGGCGUGCCUAACACAUGCAAGUCGAACGAGAAAGGGUAGCAAUACCUGAGUACAGUGGCGCACGGGUGAGUAACACGUGACUAACCUACCCUGGAGUGGGGAAUAACUGAGGGAAACCUUAGCUAAUACCGCAUAAUACCUACGGGUCAAAGGAGCAAUUCGCUUCAGGAGGGGUCGCGGCCGAUUAGUUAGUUGGCGGGGUAAUGGCCCACCAAGACAGUGAUCGGUA
RNAcentral lists this ribosomal RNA (244 nucleotides) under uncultured bacterium. RNAcentral describes it as "partial small subunit ribosomal RNA". It matches the Rfam family "Bacterial small subunit ribosomal RNA", at positions 27 to 285 of the family's 1533-position model. The record is from RNAcentral.